UACAAGUCACUUCCGACAAUCGGACGAGCGCACCGUACCCGAACAGCGACAAGACGGUGCAAG
RNAcentral lists this non-coding RNA (63 nucleotides) under Rhodococcus sp. (in: high G+C Gram-positive bacteria). Lineage: Bacteria; Bacillati; Actinomycetota; Actinomycetes; Mycobacteriales; Nocardiaceae. The record is from RNAcentral.